UCAAUCUUGUAGCACGAACCAAAAUGAACGAAGAGCUAUAAAGAGGGCGGAGUCGGGGAGGAUUGAACAAAAAAUAGGGCGGAGCCGAAUUGAAGUGGCAAAGCGAAGAAGUGUCAAGUGGA
This is a non-coding RNA of Caenorhabditis elegans, 122 nucleotides long. The record is from Ensembl. Lineage: Eukaryota; Metazoa; Nematoda; Chromadorea; Rhabditida; Rhabditidae.